Molecule: ribosomal RNA, 468 nt
Filed under: uncultured bacterium
Lineage: Bacteria
Description: partial 16S ribosomal RNA
Rfam family: Bacterial small subunit ribosomal RNA
Source: RNAcentral
GACGAACGCUGGCGGCGUGCUUAACACAUGCAAGUCGAACGGAAAGGCCCUGCUUUUGUGGGGUGCUCGAUUGGCGAACGGGUGAGUAACACGUGAGUAACCUGCCCUUGACUUUGGGAUAACUUCAGGAAACUGGGGCUAAUACCGGAUAGGAGCUCCUGCUGCAUGGUGGGGGUUGGAAAGUUUCGGCGGUUGGGGAUGGACUCGCGGCUUAUCAGCUUGUUUGUGGGGUAGUGGCUUACCAAGGCUUUGACGGGUAGCCGGCCUGAGAGGGUGACCGGCGACAAUGGGACUGAGAGACGGCGCAGAAUCCUACGGGAGGCAGAAGUGGGGAAGAUUGCACAAUGGGCGGAAGCCUGAUGCAGAAACGCCGCGUGCGGGAUGACGGCCUUCGGGGUGUAAACAGCUUUCGCCUGUGACGAAGCGUGAGUGACGGUAAUGGGUAAAGAAGCACCGGCUAACUACGUG